UCAAGAAACAUCUGAAGACGUACCUUUGCUCAAAGAGUAGGAGGAAUAGAUGGUAAUAUUACCAUUAUACCCCGGAUUAAUAGCUACCACUCAUAUCCGUGCCCUAUUCACCCCACCAGCUCAGUAGACAUCUUGAGCAAUGAUCAAUCUAUUUGCUCCCAAGGAACUGGGAAGGCUUUUGUUUGAUAUUUUGAUGUUUUGCUUUCUGUCUGAUAUAACAGGUUGCAUUUUUAAUUAAAUUUUAGUUGUUAAGUCAUAAUUUGUUUUUAUAUGUUGGGUUGUCAAUUUCAUAGAAUCAUAGAAUAGUAGAGUUGGAAGAGACCUCAUGGGCCAUCUAGUCCAACCCACCGCUGUUACGAGUGUACUGUUGUUGUGUUCAGGCACUGAAUGCUUGCCUUUUAUGUUUGAAAUUCAUCCUGAGUCCCUCCGGGGAGAUAGGGCAGAAUAUAAAUUCUUCUUCUUCUUCUUCUUCUUCUUCUUCUUCUUCUUAUUAUUAUUAUUAUUAUUAUUAUUAUUACUUUUUGUAUUGUACUCUGUGUUUAUUUUAUUGCAUUGUUUUAGGCACCUUGUCUCAUAUGUAAGCCGCCCCAAGUCCCUUCGGAGAGAUGGAGGCAAGGUACAAAAAUAAAAUUAUUAUUAUUGUGGUAUACUGUGCCUUUAAGCCACACUCUGUGGUUGUUACAGCUGUAAUGUAUUUAACUACUGAUGGUUGGGAUAUAUAGUUUUGUGCACCCAAAGCCAACAGAAAAAUCAAGAAACAUUUGGGCAUAUAAAAGGUGUAUAUAUGAUUGCUGAUGAUAUGAUUAUAGCAGCUGAGACAAGUAAACAACAUGAGAUUUUACAUCAGGUAAUGGAAACAGCACGUGUCAAAAACAUCAAAUUUAACAAAGAAAAGAUCCAGUUCAGGGUAAACUCUGUUAGAUAUAUGGGCCUUAUUGUGACUGCAGAGGGAGUCAGGCCAGACACUGAGAAAGUAAAGGCAAUUCAAAAAAUGAAACCUCCCAAUGACAGGCAGGGAGUGCUUAGGUUUCUAGGGUCAGUACAGUAUUUGGCAAAAUAAUAUCCCAAAAGAGGCAGAGUUGACAGCGCCAUUGAGAAGUCUGUUAAAGAAAAAUAUGAGUUUUCAAUGGAUGCCAGAACAUCAGAAAGCUUUUGAGGCGAUCAAGCAAAAGUUGUGCGAUGCACCUGUAAUGCAGUAUUUUGAUGUGACAAAACCAGUUGUUAUCCAAGCAGAUGCUUCAAAAGAUGGCUUAGGAGCAUGUCUCCUACAGGAUAAUAAGCCAGUGUCUUAUGCUUCAAGGUCACUCAGUUCCGCAGAGAAAAAUUAUACUCAAAUAGAGAAAGAAUUGCUUGCUGUUGUAUAUGCAGUACAAAAGUUCCAUCAGUAUGUGUUUGGUAAAAUGGUUCUAGUUCAAACUGAUCACAAGCCCUUAGAAUCAAUUUAUAAAAAACCAAUAGGCAGUGCCCCGGCUCGUCUGCAAAGAAUGUUGUUGCAGCUUCAGAAGUAUCAACUUAACUUUGUAUAUACUCCAGGUAAACUUAUGUAUCUGGCUGAUACCUUGUCAAGAGCUACUGUUGAUCCCCCUGGAAGUCAGGAAAAUCCAAUAGGAGAUGAGAAAGUGAUAUAUGAAGUGAAUACAUUAGCCAUGCACCCAGAUAAAAUGGGUUUAGUACAAGAAGCAACAAAAAGUGAUCCCCAGCUUAGGAUGAUUCAAACAUACCUAAACCAAGGAUGGCCAAAGUACAUGAGAAAGGUGGCCUCAAUAGCAAAAUCUUUUUGGCCGGUUAAAGAUCACCUAAGGUAUAGGGAUGGGAUUCUUUUCAUGGGAGAAAGAAUAAUCAUUCCGGCAAGCCAAAGACAAAAUGUUCUUGCACAGCUGCAUGAGUCCCAUCAAGGGAUUCAAAGAACCAAAGAAAGAGCAAGACAGUUGAUGUACUGGCCUGGUAUGUCCAAAGAUAUUGAGUCAGCUGUUGGCAGUUGUUUUGUGUGUGCUUGUUUUGCCCCAAAUAAUCAAAAGGAACCACUUAAACCCCAUGAGAUCCCAGAAGGGCCAUGGCAGAAGGUGGGAGUGGACAUAUUUGAACAGGACAAUUGCUCUUUUCUGUUGGUAAUUGACUAUUUCUCAAAAUACCCAGAAGUAGUAAGUUUACCUGAUAAAACUGCAAGAACAGUAAUUGUCAAGAUGAAAUCUGUGUUUGCAAGACAUGGAACUCCAUUAAUUGUGGUGAGUGAUAAUAUGCCAUUUGCGAGUCAAGAAUUCAAGGUAUUUGCGAAAGAAUGGGGAUUUGAACAAUGCUUUAGUAGUCCGGGGUAUCCACAAUCUAAUGGCAUGGUAGAACGAGCCAUCCAGUCCAUAAAACAACUUACACACAAAGUAGGAAAGGCAAGGGGUGAUCUGUAUGCAGCAUUGUUGGAGUACCGGAAUACAACUGUGACAGGACCUGCACAAAUAUUGAUGGGCAGAAUGCUGAGAAGUAAACUUCCCAUAACAACUGACUUAUUAUGUCCUAGGAUUCCUAUUAACGUGCGUCAAGAACUACAAAGAGCUCAGGAAAGACAAAAACAUUUUUAUGAUCGAACAGCAAGACCCCUCAAACCACUAAGAGAGGGAGAUUUGGUAUGGAUGCAAUCCAAUAAUUGCAAAGAAAGAUGGCUUCCUGCUGUUGUGAUAGAAAAAUGUAAACCACCUCGGUCAUAUCUAAUAAAGAAUCAGGACGGUCGCGUAUAUCGGCAUAAUAGGCGUCAAUUAAAACAACGGAACCAAACACCUGAAGUUACAGUUCAAGGAAAUACAACAUAUAAUGGUCCUAAAGGGAUGUUUGUGAACAAAAGUGACACACAUGUAAUAGCAGAUAGACAGCCAACGUAUGUGACAUCGCAUGGCAGACCUGUGUUUGAACCUGUAAGAUACACUCCUUAGAAGGAUGGUGCUGAAGACCAUCCUCAACGGUGGGCUAAGCACUAGUGACCUCUGGCCCCAAAGAAGACAUAUUUUCUUACCUGUCUAGUGAUGUAAUGAAGCUGCCAAGUUGUAAUGAAAGACUUUUUGUAAUUUUGAUAUGUAUGUUUUUUUAAACACUUUUAUAAAAUGUAUUUUGUUUUGUUUUGUCAGAUGUGUAGUUAUUAUGUAUGAAGAGGAGAUGUGGUAUACUGUGCCUUUAAGCCACACUCUCUGGUUGUUACAGCUGUAAUGUAUUUAACUACUGAUGGUUGGGAUAUAUAGUUUUGUGCACCCAAAGCCUCAGUAGCCUUCCUAGUGUUUGAAUAAACACCUUUGCUACAAGACUCUGCUGGCUGAGGGAGGUUUCCUGUUUUGGUUCAUUUAUCAUGGAGCACAAUGUGAAACAAAAAUCAAACACUUGUGAUACUAAGCAUUCUUUUUUUCUUCUUCAUUCAAGUCAUAAGAGAAAUCAUCAGCAUCAAAACACCAGGUUACCUGGGCCCUCUCUUGAGUGAACGCUGCCACCGCAACCCUGUUUUUGUGUCUCAUUCCUCCCCUGAUGGAACAUCUGCUCAGACAUGCGAGCAAAAAAAAAAUCAAAACGGGAAAGAAAAUCAACAACAAUGUAACGGCUUUUAAAGAAUGGCCUUUCAAUGUGCAGAGUCAUAGAGGAGAACUGGAGCAGCCCUGCUCUACCAAGAUGAAUUUCCCAUGACAGCUAAUAACUGGCUCAUCUAUUGUGCUAUGAUGUUCGGCCUCCCAGUAUUUUCCUUUCACCAAAGCAUAAGUAAAACAAGCAAAAGAACUCUUGCUUUCUUUGGGACAUUUGUUUCCAAUUGUGCAAACACCAUGAAUGCAGUUAUUUUUAUAGGCCUGUUGCGAAAGCAUGGCAUUGGAGUCUUCAUCUUGCAGUUAAUUAUAAAUCAUUGCAGAGCUGGGCUGCCCACAACAAAGUUCUCAGACCCUGAAACAGCACCGUUUGUGUGAUUGCUCCUCUCACAACCCCCUCCUAUCUCAUGCUGUCAAAUCCGCUUUAAAGAAGGGUGAGGGCAUUAUUUUAAGAUGUUAUUAUUGGCUUGGAAAGACAUAAAGUGUAAGUUCCAGGAUACUUUUUUCCCAGAGUAAGAUAACUUGCUUUGCAUCAUCCAUCAUCUGGCUUCUGGCAUAAAUGACAGGACCUCACAUCCAAAUGCCUUUGUAAGACCAUAUCUGAUGGAUCAUGGAAGGCUUGUUGUUUUUCACAAGGGUGUACCAUGAAAAGCCCCUUUCAGAAAUAUUGGGCCUAAAUCAAAGUUUGCUUCUUGAACACACUAAAUGGAAAGACAUUUUCUCCUUGCAUCUACCAGUCUUUUAAACUCUAACUUGCUUGAUCUCUGUGGUUAUCAGCAUAAAAUAUUUCAAGUAACAUUAGAGAGCUUUCCUGUGUUUACCUACCACUUUCCGUUUUAUUAAUGGUUAAACUUAUUGAGGAAUUUACAGCCAUGUCAGAUUGACCUACGCCUUGCCCCCCCCCCCCCCCAGCAGAUUAAUUGCAUAAAAUUCCAGUCAGGAGAUCACAUCAAAUUCUCCUAAAAGAAAUUUAUAACCUUUUUCAAACUUGAAUUUGACAGGAUACAUACAAGAAUAAUGGCUUUCAUCAGUUGUCUUUUCUUUUGAAGAAGAAAAAACAAAGCUGAAGAUCCAUGUUCUAUUUAGCAUUAAACAUAAUGUGUUAAAAGUCUGCAGCUUGUUGUUCUUAUUCAGAAUAAAUUAUUUUUUGUUCACAAAAAACAGUACAAAUUUCCACAGAAGUCAACGAUACUGUUAUUUAGUAAGCAAUUCAAAGAAUACAUUCUCAGUUAAAACUUAGGACCAAUGAAUAGUGAUAUAAGAAAUUACAGCAAGGUCAUAUCCUGGAUAAAGUGCGUUCUAUUGGGCCUCUCUGAAAGGUUUCUAGGGGGAUUUCAUGGUACAAAAUGAUAGUGUUAUAAUUGCACUUUAACUGUCAUGGCAACAUCCUAUGGAAUCUUGGGUUUAGCAUGUAAGGAAGAGUACUUCGGAUUCCAAGCCAGAGAGGUGUGGUGCCUCACAGAACGACAAAUUAUUGGAUUCCACAUUAUCUUUUCAUGGCAGUUUUUGUAGUGCUGUCAUUGUGUGGUUUGUGAAGUCCCCACUCAGAAGUAUUCCAUCCCUCUGAUUUCACAUUCAAGGUCAGGGUCCAGUGGGAGACGGUCUUUAAUUUCCUCCUUCAGUAUGUGAGUGUGUUGUCUGAAACUGUCCCCUCCCCCCCCUCCCCACAAAGCGCUGAGGUUCAGGAAUGACUUAUAGUUAUCCUGCUCGACUUUGGAAGAUGGAAAAAGACCCCCAGCCUAACUGCAUUGAUAAUUCCCUCCUUGCUUUUCCCAUCACCUAAUGAAUUCAGAAGAAGGUGCAGCCAAACACACCUAGCAGAUUGCAGAUUGAAAUGCAGAUAUUUGCUGGGGGUAUCCUGAUCCCAAACACAACACAAUUGACUCCUCUCCAAGAAGAACCAAGCCCAUCAUCCCGGAAUAACUAUCCAUUGUUCAGUCAAGGAAACCUUCCUUUCCCAGUUGACAUCAGUUACUGAACAUUGUUUCCCCUAAAGUAGUCACUAGACUAUCAUAUCACAGCCUAUAUUAAUGACCUCCCAUAGAUAACCCCAGUGGUACAAUGGGUUAAACCCAUGUGCCAGCAGGAUCCAGGAAAAGUGGGUGAGCUCCCUCUGUCAGCUCCAGUUCCCCAUACAGGGACAUAAGAGAAGCCUCCCACAAGUAUGGUAAAGCAUCAAACAUCCAGGCAUCCCCUGGGCAAUGUCCUUGCAGAUAGCCAAUUCUCUCACAUCAGAAGUGACUUGCAAUUUCUCAAGUCACUCCUGACACACACACACACACACACACAAAUAAAUAGGAUGGCACAGCACAGGUGCAUUAGGCGGGUUCAAUAAAAAUUAUUCCAAGUAAAAAGCUGUACAAUUUCCCAGCAUACUGUACACCAGCGGUUCCCAAACUUAUUUGGCCUACCGCCCCCUUUCCAGAAAAAAUAUUACUCAGCGCCCUGGAAAUUAAUUUUUUAAAAAAAUUUAAUAGCAAUUAAACAGAAAGAUAUAUGUACCUGUGGCCACCA
This is a long non-coding RNA of Anolis carolinensis (green anole), 6065 nucleotides long. RefSeq lists it as uncharacterized. The transcript is spliced from 4 exons. The record is from RefSeq and is a predicted model, not a curated record. NCBI's taxonomy places the organism in Eukaryota, Metazoa, Chordata, Lepidosauria, Squamata, Anolidae.